Molecule: ribosomal RNA, 513 nt
Filed under: Troglarmadillo sp. 1 MJ-2015
Lineage: Eukaryota; Metazoa; Arthropoda; Malacostraca; Isopoda; Armadillidae
Description: bacterial SSU rRNA
Rfam family: Eukaryotic small subunit ribosomal RNA
Source: RNAcentral
AAUUCUAGAGCUAAUACGUGCAACUAAAGCUCCGACCCCGUGAAGGGUUUUUAAAACUCCCUUUGCGGGGGAAGGGCGCAUUUAUUAGACCAAAAACCGGGUGGCUUCGGUUUCGGCCGUUGUCCUCCAAACACGGUUUCGUGGUGACUCUGAAUAACUACCGCCGAGCGCUCAGGUCUCAGUACCGGCGCCGUAUCCUUCAAGUGUCUGCCUUAUCAGCUCUCGAUUGUAGGUUAUUCGCCUACAAUGGCUGUAACGGGUAACGGGGAAUCAGGGUUCGAUUCCGGAGAGGGAGCCUGAGAGACGGCUACCACAUCUAAGGAAGGCAGCAGGCACGCAAAUUACCCAAUCUCGGCUCGAGGAGGUAGUGACGAAAAAUAACGAUGCGGGACUCUUCCGAGGCCUCGCAAUCGGAAUGAGUUCAAUUUAAAAACUUGGACGAGGAUCCAUUGGAGGGCAAGUCUGGUGCCAGCAGCCGCGGUAACUCCAGCUCCAAUAGCGUAUAUUAAAGUU